Molecule: non-coding RNA, 84 nt
Organism: Peziza echinospora
Lineage: Eukaryota; Fungi; Ascomycota; Pezizomycetes; Pezizales; Pezizaceae
Source: the annotation of a GenBank genome assembly
GGUUGAAUGGUGUAACGGUAGCACAUAAGAUUCUGAUUCUGUUAGAUCUUUCUUGUGACCUGGGUUCGACUCCCAGUUCGACCU